AGAGUUCGAUCUUGGCUCAGGAUGAACGUUGAUGGCAUGUCUUACACAUGCAAGUAGGAUGGGAAGUGGUAUUUCCAAUGGCAAACAUGUGAGUAACGCGUAAAACCUGCCAUUGGGAGGGGAACAACUAGAAAUAGUUGCUAAUACCCCUUAGGCUGAGGAACAAAAGGAGGAAUCCGCCCGAGGAGGGGCUCACGUCUGAUUAGCUAGGUGAGGCCAUAGCUUACCAAGGCGAUGAUCAGUAGUUGGUCCGAGAGGAUGAUCCACCACACACUGGGACUGAGACAUGGCCCAAACUCCUAUAGGAGGCAGCAAUGGGGAAUUUUCCACAAUAGGAAAAGCCUGACAAAGUAAUGUCGCGUGGAGGUAGAAGACCUAUGGGUCGUGAACUUCUCCUAGAGAAAAAGCAAUGACGGUAUUCGGGGAAUAAGCAUUGGCUAACUCUGUGCCAGUAGCCGCGGUAAGAUAGAGGAUGCAUGCAUUAUUCAAAAUGAUUGAGUGUAAAACGUCUGUAGGUGGCUUUUUAAGUUGACCGUCGAACCCCAAGGCGCGCGAAUGGGAUUAGAUACCCUAGUAAUCCUAGCCGUAAACGAUGGAUACUAGGUGUUGCGUGUAUCGACCUGUGCAAUGCUGUAGCUAACGCGUUAAGUAUCUUUCCUGGGGAGUACGUAUGCAAGAAUGAAACUCAAAGGAAUCGACGGUGGCCCGCACAAGUGGUGGAACAUGUGGUUUAAUUCGAUGCAAAGAGAAGAACCUUACCAGGGCUUAACAUGCCGUGAAUCCUCUUGAAAGAGAUGGGUGCCUUUUGGAACACGGAAUAGGUGAUGCAUGGUUGUCGUUAGCUCGUGCCAUAAGGUGUUGAGUUAAGUCCCGCAACGAGUGCAAUGCUCGUGCUUAGUUGCCAACAUUAAGUUUAGAACCUUGAGCAAGAAUGUCUGUGAUAAGCUGGAGGAAGGUGAGGAUGACGUUAAGUCAUCAUGCCCCUUAUGCCCUAGGCGACAUAACACGUGCUACAAUGGCCAAGAAAAGGACAGCGAUCCCACGAGGGCGAGCUAACUCCAAAAACUCGUCCUCAGCUCAAGUUGUAGGUUGUAACUUGCCUAUAUGAAGCCAGAAUCGCUAGUAAUUGUCAAUUAGCCAUUCGACGAUGAAUUCGUUCCUAGGCAUUAUGCACACUGCUUGUCACACUAUGGUAGUUGGUCAUGCCCAAAGUCGUUACCUUAACCACUAGGAGGGGGAUGCCGAAGGCAAGGCUAGUAACUGAAGUGAAGUUGUAACAAGGUAGUUGUAUUGGAAGGUGUGGUUG
RNAcentral lists this ribosomal RNA (1306 nucleotides) under Nissolia schottii. RNAcentral describes it as "bacterial SSU rRNA". It matches the Rfam family "Bacterial small subunit ribosomal RNA". The record is from RNAcentral. Lineage: Eukaryota; Viridiplantae; Streptophyta; Magnoliopsida; Fabales; Fabaceae.